Molecule: ribosomal RNA, 484 nt
Filed under: uncultured bacterium
Lineage: Bacteria
Description: partial 16S ribosomal RNA
Rfam family: Bacterial small subunit ribosomal RNA
Source: RNAcentral
AUUGAACGCUGGCGGCAGGCCUAACACAUGCAAGUCGAACGGCUGAAGAGCGCUUGCUUCUUCAUUCAGCGGCCGACGGGUGAAUCAUGCCUAAGAAUAUGCCUACUUGUGGUUGAGAAGGUCCGCAAACGGGGGCUAAUACCGCAAUCGUCCUGAGGCAGAACGUGUGGAACCUUGGGAUCUUACGCCAUUAGAUGAUCCUAUGUCGGAUUAGCUAGUUGGCGGGGUAAAGGCCUACCAAGGCGACGAGCCGUAACUGGUCUGAGAGGAUGAUCAGGCACACUGGAACUGAGACACGGGCCAGACUCCUACGGGAGGCAGCAGUGGGGAAUAUUGGACAAUGGGCGAAAGCCUGAUCCAGCCAUGCCGCGUGUGUGAAGAAGGACUUCGGAUUGUAAAGCACUUUAAGUGGGGAGGAAGGGCAGCAAGUUAAUACCGGGCUGUUCUGACGUUACCAAAAGAAUAAGCACCGGCUAACUUCGUG